CUCCCUCCUUCCCUCCCCCCCUCCUUUCUUCCCUCUCUCCCUCCCUCCCUCUCUCCCUCCCUCCGCAGGCGGCUGCGAGCCCGGAUGGUUUGCGAGCGGAGUUGAGGGGGCAAACUUUGCAGCCCAGAUGCCUCUGGGGCUGCGCGGCAGAGCGCGGCUGCUCCUGCAGGCACCUGCCGCCGCCCUCGCCCCGGCGCUGCCGCCCUCCGCGGGGGCGGCCGGCCCCGCUGCCGGCGGCCGCCGAGGCGGCGGGCGCUGCGGCCGCGGCUAGGGCGGGCGGCGAGCGGCGGGCGCGCCCCCAUGCGGGUCCCGGGCCGGGGCGCGCCGGCGGCGGCAGGCGGGAGCCGGGCGGCGGCCGGGCGGUGCUGCGCGGCCGCCUGAGCGGGCGCAGCGCGGGACGGCGGCGCGGGGUGCCGGGAGCCAUGGGCUAUUGCAGCGGGCGGUGCACGCUGGUGGCGGUGUGCGGCGCGCAGCUGGUUUCUGUGCUCGAGAGACAGAUAUUUGACUUCCUUGGUUAUCAGUGGGCACCCAUCCUGGCAAAUUUUAUACACAUUAUUAUAGUCAUACUUGGCUUAUUUGGAACCAUCCAGUAUAGACCUCGUUACAUAACAGGAUACGCUGUCUGGCUAGUCCUCUGGGUUACAUGGAACGUGUUUGUUAUCUGCUUCUAUUUGGAGGCUGGGGACCUUUCAAAGGAAACAGAUCUCAUUCUGACCUUUAAUAUCUCAAUGCAUCGUUCUUGGUGGAUGGAGAACGGACCAGGCUGCACCGUGACCUCAGUAACCCCAGCCCCAGACUGGGCACCAGAGGAUCAUCGUUAUAUCACUGUCUCGGGGUGUUUUCUUGAAUACCAGUACAUAGAAGUGGCUCACAGUUCUCUUCAGAUCUUCCUUGCACUGGCGGGCUUCAUCUAUGCCUGUUAUGUUGUGAAAUGUAUUACUGAAGAAGAGGACAGCUUUGAUUUUAUAGGUGGAUUUGACUCUUACGGCUAUCAAGGCCCACAGAAGACAUCUCAUUUACAGCUACAGCCCAUGUAUAUUGCCAACAGUGUGCUCUGUGCUGUACAAGCCAAGAAGCCUAGACAGUCCCUUCAGAACGAAUACGCAUUCUAGACAGAAGGGGACAGAACCGCUGCUCGUGUGCCUCCUCGCAGCGUGCCACGGCUGAUGUCCAGAACAGCAGCUUGUUGGCAUUCUGCGUUGAAGAUGCCAGUGCUCAUUUCCAGACAAUGGGACAAGAACACAAGGACAAUUGUCAAGAGACCUCUUGGGAGGUGACUGAGGAAGGUCAAAGUAAACAUGGGGACUGCUCAACAGGGGCUGGAGGACCUGUCUAAGAAACUGUUUCGGGAUGGCCCCCCCAAAUUCUACAAAGAGCAAAAAAAUCCAGUUUUUGUGUUUAAAGAAAAAAAAAGGCUGAUUGAACAGUGAGACAAAAAACAACAGGCACGGUCAGCCCCUCUUUCUACCAGGUACAGAGGGAGAUGCCCAGGACCUACACCUUGGACCUCCUGCCUCUCAGCAUCCCACUACCAGGUGCCAGAGAGUCAGAGCAGAGGCAUUGGUGACGUCUUCAGGUUCUUCCCUACCCUGGCCACCACCAGUCCUGCCCAUCUGGAUUAAGACAUGAACCCACCCAAUUCGGUGCUUUUGGAGCCCCUUCACACUCCUGGCCGCAUCAAGUCUCCCUAGUCAACAUAAUACUAAAAAUACCAGGAUGACCUUGCGACGGAAGUCACUCGACAGCGCGUUGUUUGCCCUGAAGGCUGUACAGUUCAUACUUGCCUUAACCCAACUGCACUGCACAUCAGAGAAACUCAGUGCAAGCUUUCUGAAGUAACGUCCUUUAGGCUCAACAUGCUGCUGUUAAUUCUGAAUGAUUUCUAAGUCAGUGGUUUUCUUUGUUUUGUUCUGUUUUGUUUUCAUGUCAGGGAAUAAGGCUCUGUUGCUCCUCGGCUCCAGAGCAACUGAGUAGAAAACUGCCAGCUGUCAGAAAAGUGCUUUACUUUUGAGGCUCCACAGUGGUCAAGGUACAAACAGUUUAUAAUGAUAAAAAAAAAGAAAAAGAAAUUAGAUCUUUUGGGGGGCGGGGUGGGGAAAGGGGUAACAAACUAAUAAUUGAACCUACUGGAAAUAAACAGCAGAAACAGUGCUUCUUAAUCCCGCUGUUUUUAUUUAUGGCACUGUAGGUGCUUUUAUAGGUAUCUCUAAAUGUCUUUUACUAACUACAGAGACAUCUGCAGAUUUCUAUCAACAAAGGCCAACUGAAUAUGUACUAGCUACGUUUACUCUUUUAUAUCUAAUUUCAACUGAAAAUUCUCUGUAAAAGUGAGCUUUUUUUUCUAAUUGCACCACAAGGGAACCAUAUAUUUUAUUUUUCAUUUUGGUUGGGGGAGGGUGGGGAGGGACUAGUUGAGUUGAUGAAGUAUUGGAGACCUUUUUGUGGUAUAUUUGGGGGAUCUGUUGUGUGUUAGAAUGUGUAUUUUAUCUUCCUGUAUUAUUGUGGCUGAAAAAAAACUGUGCUGUUACGUAGUUGGCAACAAAAUGCCUUUGGGAAUUUUGCUAGUAGGUCAAUGUGUACAUGAAAUACUCUGAACUCCUAGGAACAUAUGUUUUGUUCUAAAUUUGAUCUGUAUUUUCAAGCACUUAGGUGGCUUUCAUUAGGAGGAAAAAAUAUUUUUCUCAGCCUUUUCAGGAACUUGGAUCAUUGUUGUUUCUUUACUCAGAACCAGCACAAACACAUGCGCCUAUCACACUUUAGGUCACCACAUAGCUUUUGAGGGUGAGAGGGAGGUUGAGUGCUUGGAAAGGCUCGAGCUGCCCCCAAGCAACUGUUUUCCUUGCUCACCAAACCUUCAUGUCCCUGUGGCUUCUGAGUUCCCAGGACCUGUGCGCUAGCUCCACUUAUCCAUCCCUAUACAAACCAAUGCCCUUUGCUGUGUUUGCAUGGAUGUAAUGUGUCACAAACAGUAACUCUGGACAAUGACAGAGGAAUAGGCAUUCGCCACUGAAAAUAAGAUAUGGGACAUGUUCAGGAUCUAUAUUUACAUUUAUUCAGUGAGAUUUAUAUCUAUAUAUACAUGUAUGUGUGUAUGUGUAUGUAUAUAUAAUACACAGGAAAAACUAGUAAUAGAGUCUGCAUAACCCAAGAAAUAAAUGACUUGAGCAUAGAGCCAAGGAUUCCAAUCCCAAAUCCAGCUAAUGAUUUCCUACAUGAAUUAGGCAAGUCAGUUUGGCCUCAUCCAGUAAAGCAUUCUUGGCUGAUUUGGAUCCCAAAUUCAAAUUUUCAAACAUGGGUACCCGAAAUUAGAUGUCUCUGUUGAUUCUUGGUAGAGCUGCUUUUCACUCCUGGAACUCCAAGUGCCAGGCUGAUAUUUCCCAUAACCUGAAAAUUUUUGAAAGUUUCUACUUAAGCAUAGCAGAUAUAUAAUAUUAAAUGUCAUGUGAAAGUUUAAAUGUGAUGAACAUGUCAUAUCAGGGUAUUUCAGCUUUCCCUGUACAAAUGUUAAUCGAAAUUGUAUUUCUAUAAAAAUGAUUUUCUAGCAUAAAAAAGAAAACAGUUUAGGCACUUAAACAGUGAUCCAGUUUUCAAAGCUGUUUUCUCAUACCUUUCAGUGUUUUCUCUCAAAAUGGCAUCUACUGGUACUUAGUAAUAUUGGAAGUCAGACAAUUUACUGAAGUGUCUAUACAUAGUUUUUAGGUCUAACUAAUUUACAAAAGUUUGGCCUUAAUUUCUCUGUACCUUAGUCUCCCCAUCUAUAAAAUGGGGAUAAUAUAUGCCUCACCAGCUUUUUGUGAGGUUUGAAUUGUCAAUGUUUGUACAGUGCUUAGGAAAUAGGAAGCACAUAUAACUAUUAAGUAUUACAAUGAUAAAUGUGUAUUCAUAUAUUACAUAUAGAAUAGAUAUACACACAUUCACAUGCACACUGUAUGUAUAUAUUUAUAUAUACACACAUAUAUGAAGUUGGUUUUCAUAACCCUGCUUGAGUUGCAGUUAAAGCACCACCAUUAAAAAGAACUUAGGACUGUUGAGUACUAAACUAAGUGAUCAGUGGACAGAUCUCUUCUGGAAGCAGUUUAGAGCACAGUAGUGUGAGAAUAUCUGGAUGACAUUUUUGAUUUGUACAGCUGUAUCCUCCUCAAAAUCCAGUAAAGAAUGUUAUUUUUCUAGGCUGGCUUUUGUUAUAAACUUAAAUAUUCAGAAAGCAAGAGAUACAAUCCAAAUGUGUCUUUUUUUCUUUUCUUUUUGCAUUUGUUAAUUCUGAAUGUAUUUUUAACAAAAGUGAUUUUUUUGACUAGUGUAAUUUGCAUUUAAAAAAUAAAUGGAAAAAUAUAGGUUUCCAAGCUA
RNA transcript from Dromaius novaehollandiae (emu), 4347 nucleotides. It is a transcript of the gene named sodium/potassium transporting ATPase interacting 2, with no coding region annotated. The record is from RefSeq and is a predicted model, not a curated record. The transcript is spliced from 8 exons. Lineage: Eukaryota; Metazoa; Chordata; Aves; Casuariiformes; Dromaiidae.